This 497-nucleotide ribosomal RNA is filed under the name uncultured bacterium. RNAcentral's name for it is "partial 16S ribosomal RNA". It matches the Rfam family "Bacterial small subunit ribosomal RNA", at positions 28 to 507 of the family's 1533-position model. The record is from RNAcentral.
GAUGAACGCUGGCGGCGUGCCUAAUACAUGCAAGUCGAGCGAACAGUUGAGGAGUUUGUCCCUAAGGCUAUAGCGGCGGACGGGAGAGAAACACGUAGGUAAUCUCUGUAUGAGACUGGGAUAACUUCGGGAAACCGGCGAAUAUAGGGGAUAAUUUUACGAAACGUAUGCUUCGAUAGUGAAAGAUGGUUUUGCUAUCACUUAUAGAUGGACCUGCGCCGUAUUAGCUAGUUGGUAAGGUAACGGCUUACCAAGGCAACGAUACGUAGCCGACCUGAGAGGGUGAUCGACCACACUGGAACUGGGACACGGUCCAAACUCCAACGGGAGGCGGCAGAAGGGAAUCUUCCGCAAUGGGCGAAAGCCUGACGGGGCAACGCCGCGUGAGUGAUGAAGGUCUUCGGAUCUUAAAACUCUGUGAUUAGGGAAGAACAAACGUGUAAGUAACUGUGCACGUCUUGACGGUACCUAAUCAGAAAGCCACGGCUAACUACGUG